Paramuricea clavata is the source of this 293-nucleotide non-coding RNA. The record is from the annotation of a GenBank genome assembly. Lineage: Eukaryota; Metazoa; Cnidaria; Anthozoa; Malacalcyonacea; Plexauridae.
GCCCAAAUAAGAGCUCUUGCAAUCCAACAUUUAAUAAACUGCCCAGAACAUUUCAUAGAGUCUAAUACUGAACAAUCCUGGUUGCAUUAUUUACAGAAUAUGUCAAGGCUAGGCUCAUGGGCAGACCAUAUUAUCAUACAGGCAGUUGCGAAUGCAAAUAAUUUAAGAAUUCACAUCACAGAAAGUGCGCAAAAUUUUACUGAAACUACAGUUGUAACCUCUAUUUAUGCUCAGGGAAAUGUAAGAGAUAUUUAUAUCGGACAUCUUGACGAACUGCAUUAUGUUUCUACAAC